Long non-coding RNA from Sus scrofa (pig), 2953 nucleotides. RefSeq lists it as uncharacterized. The record is from RefSeq and is a predicted model, not a curated record. Lineage: Eukaryota; Metazoa; Chordata; Mammalia; Artiodactyla; Suidae.
UGAACCAAGGCAGGAAGUGCUCAUUCAAUCAUUAUUUCGUUCAUUCAGCAUGUGUUUGCUGAUGCCUCCCACAUGCUGGACCUGGGCUCUGGGGACACCACGAUAUAAAAGACUUGGCCUCAAGCACUUGGAGCACAGUCCAGGGGAGGAAACAGCCCAGGAGGGAAUUUCAGCAGAGCAUGAUGCAAGCUGCGAUAAGGGCACUGAAGAAACAAAAGCGAAUAUCAUAGACCUAGACUCUGCUUUUCUGGGAGCUGAGGGGCACAGAUCCUAAAUCAAAGGAUCUCACAAUAAAACACAGACAGUGAGAAGCGCUGUCAGGAAAGGCUUCUCUAAGGUGAGGCAAACCAGCUGGUUUGGUACUUUGUUCGGCCACUAUCCAGUGAGCACCCACUGGGUCAGACACUGCUGAGUGCAAGGAUGCAGGGUGAGGAAGACAGACCCAGUUCCUGCCCUCAAGAGGCUGACAUUCCAGUAAAGGAGAUGCACCAAAAUAAAUGGACAACGACAGCAGGGCGAGGCAAAUGCAGCUAGAGCUAUAGAGGGGCUGUGGGCGCAGGGAGGGGGUGAGCAGGAGUUAGGGAUUGCGCGUGGGGUGGGAGAGGGGCUGGCGGGGUGUCUCUGGCGACCUGCUGGGCUCAGGAGGCUGCGGGGAAUGGUGGGAGAAGAUGCUGUAGCCUUGGAAGAAGGUCAAGGUCCACUAGAAGGAGAGCCAAGGCCGUGGAUGCAGGAAGGCAGAGGGUGCUUGCGGGGCUCCCGCUGUCUCCCCAUCUCUGCCCGUGCCUCCUUUUUCUGUCCUUCUCUAUCUGUCUCUGUUUCUCCCUGUCAGCACCUGACCGUCUCUCAGAUUCUCUCAUUGUCUCUCUUGGCCUCUCGGCCUCUCUUUCUCUGACUCUCUCUUGUCUGCUCUAAAAAAAAAAAAAAAAAAAAAAAAAAAAAAACCCAGGCGGGUGGGCUGGAAGCAAGGCCAGGGGCACAAGGACAGCUGAGCACAGGGACGGGCCGUGACUGAAUGUUCUGUUUUGGAAAGACAGCUCUGGUCAGGGGCGAAGGUGGCUGACCAUGAAACUUGAUAACCUGGCCAAACUCAGUUUUAGCCAGCCUUCUGGCCGGCAGCCCUGUGACCCCGUGGGUGCCGCGCAGAAUUUUCCCAGAGGGAGGGGGAGAUGGGGAAAUGGCCCACGGGCAGUUUCUCCUCUGGCGACCAGGACCAACAGGGAUGGCAAUAAGGGAAUGGUGCAUUCUCCAGUGUGACCUCAGUGUGGCUCAGACCAGGAAAGGCCUGCUUAUCUCUGUGCACUUUCCAAAGGUUUAACGAUUUAUUAAGCACUUACUGUGUGCCAGGCACCGCGCCGUGUACACCACCGCUAACCCUCUCAAGUGGAGCGCUGAGGUCUAAGACCAUGGACUGUGAGCCAGAAUGUUUGAGUUUGAAUCCCGGCUUUGCAAAUUUCUAACUGUGACUUUGUGUAAGUUACUCAAGCCCUUUCUUCAGGUGUAAAAAUGGGAAGAAAGUAGCAGAGUCUCAGCCAUCGGAGGGCAGGUGAAUACUGGCUAGUACCUGUAAAGGGCUCACACGACUGCCUGGCAUAUAGUAACUGCUCAAGAAAAAUCGAAGCUAUUAUGAUUUCAGCCUUGAAGGAAAGAGAUAAAGCUAAGGAGGUAGAGUGAGUCACGUUCCAAUUCCUGCUUCAUCACUUCCCAGCUCUGUGACCUUGGUUAAAUCUCAAAACAUAAGUAGGUGUCCGUUUUCUUACCUGUUCAGUAAGUAUACUCUUAGGUCUCACCUUAUCAGGGGGCUGAGAGCUUCUGUGGAUGUGAAAAGCAGAUGGAAAGCGUUCGGAAAAAAUUCAUGUUUUCCCCACGUGUCCAGGAGGUUCCACGAUUCCAGAACAUCUACGAUUGCUCGGUCUCAGGCUUUUCCUGUCCUAGGAGACAGCGGUGAUCUGUUGGGGAUGGAUCAAGGCCCCUUGGCACCCCACCCUUCUGCUGCCGGCACUAUCGACCCAUUUCACAGCAGUAGAAACUGAGGUCUGUGAGGUAAACAGGCUGCCCAAGGCAAAAGAUUUGCAAGUACCUGCACCCCUGAGCUGCGCUUGACCUGAACUCCUGGGACAACCCCACCAUUUCCUCUGCCAUCAGAGGCAACUGGGUCCUGGCCCUCUCUCACACCCAGCUGCAAUUUCCUGCCUCCAUAUGCCCUGCGCCUGGCUCGGUGCUAGUCUCAGAAAUGUUGGUUGUACCAGACAGAAUCUACAAGCCCAAAGAGCUAUGCUGUCCUUGAAUUAUCUCUCAGCAUCCUUAGCCUUCUUCCUUAUCCUCUGCCAGCCAACCAGAAGGAAAAGCAACAUGGCCAUUGCAUCCCUAAGUCCUCCUCUCGCUACCAGGGCGAGAAGCAGGUGACAAGCAUAGGCAAUGUGAAGGAGGGGACAGAAGCGGGUCUGGAGCCCCAGAGCCCCAGGUUCUCAUGCCUUGGCUGUGUAACUUUGGACAUGAGUCCUCCCCUCUCUGAGUCUCAGUUUCCUCAUCUGUAGAAUGGGUACAAUCAUCACAAUGUCCACUCCUUCAGUUGAUAUGCAGAAUAGAGAGAGCAUGGGUAGAGCACUAGGCAUGGAUCAGGUCUCAGAAAAUGAGAACCAUCCCCGCUAGGUGGGGGUGGGGGUGGUGGCUGAACCCCUCUCUCCCCACCCCAGUCCUUCAAGCCCAGUUUGGCUCUUCUUGGUCAAUGGUGAGCUCCUCAUGAGACAGUAUAGUGGUUAUGAGCAUGAGCCCUGGGGUCAGCUGCCUGGCGUCAAAUCCUGCCUCUGCCACAUGUUAGCUGCCUGAUCGCAGACUUAAGUGACAGAAGCGCUCUGGGACUUAGUCUCUCCACGCAAGAAGUAGAUGUAUAAUAAUCCCCACCUCUUUGAACUGUUGUGAUGAUCAAAUGAAUUUACAAAUGUAAAGGCUAGGA